RNAcentral lists this ribosomal RNA (465 nucleotides) under uncultured Klebsiella sp. RNAcentral's name for it is "bacterial SSU rRNA". It matches the Rfam family "Bacterial small subunit ribosomal RNA", at positions 338 to 795 of the family's 1533-position model. The record is from RNAcentral. Lineage: Bacteria; Pseudomonadati; Pseudomonadota; Gammaproteobacteria; Enterobacterales; Enterobacteriaceae.
CCUACGGCGGGCUGCAGUGGGGAAUAUUGCACAAUGGGCGCAAGCCUGAUGCAGCCAUGCCGCGUGUGUGAAGAAGGCCUUCGGGUUGUAAAGCACUUUCAGCGGGGAGGAAGGCGGUGAGGUUAAUAACCUCAUCGAUUGACGUUACCCGAAGAAGAAGCACCGGCUAACUCCGUGCCAGCAGCCGCGGUAAUACGGAGGGUGCAAGCGUUAAUCGGAAUUACUGGGCGUAAAGCGCACGCAGGCGGUCUGUCAAGUCGGAUGUGAAAUCCCCGGGCUCAACCGGGGAACUGCAUUCGAAACUGGCAGGCUAGAGUCUUGUAGAGGGGGGUAGAAUUCCAGGUGUAGCGGUGAAAUGCGUAGAGAUCUGGAGGAAUACCGGUGGCGAAGGCGGCCCCCUGGACAAAGACUGACGCUCAGGUGCGAAAGCGUGGGGAGCAAACAGGAUUAGAUACCCGUGUAGUC